GUAGUUGUGGCCGAGUGGUUAAGGCGAUGGACUCGAAAUCCAUUUGGGUCUCCCCGCGCAGGUUCGAGUCCUGCCGACUACG
Non-coding RNA from Danio rerio (zebrafish), 82 nucleotides. Lineage: Eukaryota; Metazoa; Chordata; Actinopteri; Cypriniformes; Danionidae. The record is from Rfam.